AUAUAUUCAUUCUUGGUACUU
Non-coding RNA from Caenorhabditis elegans, 21 nucleotides. NCBI's taxonomy places the organism in Eukaryota, Metazoa, Nematoda, Chromadorea, Rhabditida, Rhabditidae. The record is from Ensembl.